AUGCCCAUUUACUCUUGGAGCCAGCUCUCCCCUCCUACCACCACCCGCCACCGCCACCCCCACUGGCUCACUCAUUAGCGUGUUAAUUCUGCCCAUGCCUGUCAUGUUUGCCACGCCCUUCUCAGCAGCACUCAUCCCGGCACUGGGAUUGCCAGUGACUCUGGCUCCCUCAUACAUGAGCUCAUCUGGGUGUGGUCCAUUUUUUGUCAACAUUGCGUCCUCAGAAUUUUGCACAAGGCCACGUUCUGGUGGGAGAUUGAGAAAUAAUUACUGGUUAAAUGAUCUCGAACUUAACUCUUCACCUCUCUGAGCUUCAAUUUUCUUCUCUGUGAAAUUGACAUUAUAACACCCAUCUGUAAAGGAUGUGAAGGUUCCAUGAAAUGAACCUUCAGGGUCCAGACCGGCACAUGGUGGGCUUUAGUCUCCCUUAUCCUAGGGGCUGGAUCCCAAAGGUAGAAUGUGAAGUUCUCGUUUGGGAGCUCACAUCUGGUCGGGAGGACACCAAGUCACGGGGGAAUGACUCACGGUGGGGUUAAGGAAGUCUAGUAUUUUGUGGGAAGGGAAAAAUCAGCCUGGCCAGGGAGUCCCAUAGGGGCUGGGGAGGGGCAGAAAAUGUUCUUAAACAGGUCAGGUGGUGGUGUAAGGCAGAGGACUCCGAAAACCAAGCUGAGGGGUUGGACACCGUCCCCCAAAGAUUGACGGAGUUUCACUCUUGUUACCCAGGCUUGGAAUGCAAUGGCGCGAUCUCGGCUCACCAUAACCUCUGCCUGCUGGGUUCAAGCAAUUCUCCUGCCUCAGCCUCCCGAGUAGCUGGAACUACAGGUAACCACGACUCGGGAAGACAUAGGACAUGUGCCACCCCCGGCUUCUCCUGGUCCUCCCUCCAAGGGCAGCCACUCUUCUGAUCUCUGUUGCCAAGGUUUUGGCUGUUUUUGAACAUCGGGAGCACGUCUUCUUAAAAAGCAUCUUCAAUGUCAUAAUUUUGUAUUCAGAAAAGAAACCAAGAGCCUGGUCAGGCACAGUGCAGAGGGUGGUGAAGGGUCGUGGUGUCGAGGAUCCCAGCAGUGGCAGGUUCAACAGUGCCUCAGCUGGCUGGUGAGCAGGCGGGCAGCCAUACUGCACUGACGUUCUGAAGCUUUGGUGGCGAUGUGGUGUUUCCUGGCUACUGGCAGUGCCCAGGGUAUCAUGAACAUUAUCUGUGCCCCCGCCUUUCUCUUCAGUGGUCCCCAACCCCUAUCAUGCCUGUUCAGUGCUGGACUGGACCACACCCACAGUGGUGGCACUUCCCGGAUGGUGACCUUGGAGCAAAACGCUUAAUGUCUCUGUUUCCAUUUCUUUGUUAAAUGGGGGAUAAUUAUAGUACCUAACUCAGGUUUGUUAAGAGAAUAAAGUGAAUUGAUUGUAAUAAAUACUUGUCUGGAGUUUAGAAGAGUGUUUAAUAUGUAGUAAGUGCGUAUGCCAAAAUUAAAUAAACCUUCA
Callithrix jacchus (white-tufted-ear marmoset) is the source of this 1479-nucleotide long non-coding RNA. RefSeq lists it as uncharacterized. The record is from RefSeq and is a predicted model, not a curated record. NCBI's taxonomy places the organism in Eukaryota, Metazoa, Chordata, Mammalia, Primates, Cebidae.